RNAcentral lists this ribosomal RNA (486 nucleotides) under uncultured bacterium. RNAcentral's name for it is "partial 16S ribosomal RNA". It matches the Rfam family "Bacterial small subunit ribosomal RNA", at positions 30 to 507 of the family's 1533-position model. The record is from RNAcentral.
AUUGAACGCUGGCGGCAUGCCUUACACAUGCAAGUCGAACGGCAGCACGGGUGCUUGCACCUGGUGGCGAGUGGCGAACGGGUGAGUAAUACAUCGGAACAUGUCCUGUAGUGGGGGAUAGCCCGGCGAAAGCCGGAUUAAUACCGCAUACGAUCUACGGAUGAAAGCGGGGGACCUUCGGGCCUCGCGCUAUAGGGUUGGCCGAUGGCUGAUUAGCUGGUUGGUGGGGUAAAGGCCUACCAAGGCGACGAUCAGUAGCUGGUCUGAGAGGACGACCAGCCACACUGGGACUGAGACACGGCCCAGACUCCUACGGGAGGCAGCAGUGGGGAAUUUUGGACAAUGGGCGAAAGCCUGAUCCAGCAAUGCCGCGUGUGUGAAGAAGGCCUUCGGGUUGUAAAGCACUUUUGUCCGGAAAGAAAUCCCUGGCCCUAAUACGGUCGGGGGAUGACGGUACCGGAAGAAUAAGCACCGGCUAACUACGUG